GCUUGGCCAUAUCAUGGUGUGUUAUUGGAUGGAUGAGUUCUGGGGAACUCUUUAUUGGUAUGUAGUGGAGAUGGGUAGGAAUCAUUUUAUAAAACUUGAACUGAUUUCUAAAAAAGUUGCAUCGACAUUCCCAUGCACCUUGCUAUACAUGAUAUUAUGUUGAAAUAUAGGUGUUGUUGUAUAUAUGAAAUGUAUUGUAAC
Molecule: long non-coding RNA, 201 nt
Filed under: Gossypium barbadense (sea-island cotton)
Lineage: Eukaryota; Viridiplantae; Streptophyta; Magnoliopsida; Malvales; Malvaceae
Description: long non-coding RNA (GBAR_LNC007158)
Source: RNAcentral